This is a non-coding RNA of Spea bombifrons (plains spadefoot toad), 138 nucleotides long. RefSeq annotates it as small Cajal body-specific RNA 11. The transcript has a single exon. Lineage: Eukaryota; Metazoa; Chordata; Amphibia; Anura; Pelobatidae. The record is from RefSeq and is a predicted model, not a curated record.
UUGUCCGCCCAGCAGACUUCUGCACACCCCGGUCUCUAGUGUGGCUGGGGAUCCCGGUUGGACACAAACUAAUACUGUCUGUUUAGGAGGGCAGCACAAAGAUGUAGUGCUAUUCCCUUAAAGGCUUGACAGGACAUA